RNAcentral lists this transfer RNA (76 nucleotides) under bacterium. RNAcentral describes it as "tRNA-Asn". It matches the Rfam family "tRNA". Rfam says of the family: Transfer RNA (tRNA) molecules are approximately 80 nucleotides in length. Their secondary structure includes four short double-helical elements and three loops (D, anti-codon, and T loops). The record is from RNAcentral.
UCCCUGGUAGCUCAGUUGGCAGAGCAUGUGGCUGUUAACCACAGUGUCGCAGGUUCGAGUCCUGCCCGGGGAGCCA